This 433-nucleotide ribosomal RNA is filed under the name uncultured bacterium. RNAcentral describes it as "partial 16S ribosomal RNA". It matches the Rfam family "Bacterial small subunit ribosomal RNA", at positions 29 to 507 of the family's 1533-position model. The record is from RNAcentral.
AACGAACGCUGGCGGCAUGCCUAAUACAUGCAAGUCGAACGAGAAGUUCGGAACUAGGGGCGCACGGGUGUGGAACGCGUGGGAAUCUGCCCUCGUGGUCGGAAUAACUUCUGGAAACGGAAGCUAAUACCGGACGAUGACGUAAGUCCCACGAUUUAUUGCCCAAGGUUGAUCCCGCGUAGGAUUAGCUAGUUGGGGGGGUAAAGGCCACCCAAGGGCAUGAUCCUUAGCUGGGUAGCGGGGACGCGCAGCCACACGCGGACUGAGACACGGCCCAGACGCCUACCGGAGGCAGCGGUAGGGUAUCUUGGCAACGGGGCGAGACCGUGAUCCAUCAAUGGCGCGUGAGUGAUGAAUGCCUUAGGGUUGUAAAGCUCUUUUUCCCGGGAUGCUAAUGACAGUACCGGGAGCAUAAGCCCCGGCUAACUCCGUG